Molecule: ribosomal RNA, 427 nt
Filed under: uncultured bacterium
Lineage: Bacteria
Description: partial 16S ribosomal RNA
Rfam family: Bacterial small subunit ribosomal RNA
Source: RNAcentral
UGGGGAAUAUUGCACAAUGGGCGCAAGCCUGAUGCAGCCAUGCCGCGUGUAUGAAGAAGGCCUUCGGGUUGUAAAGUACUUUCAGCGGGGAGGAAGGUGUUGUGGUUAAUAACCACAGCAAUUGACGUUACCCGCAGAAGAAGCACCGGCUAACUCCGUGCCAGCAGCCGCGGUAAUACGGAGGGUGCAAGCGUUAAUCGGGAUUACUGGGCGUAAAGCGCACGCAGGCGGUCUGUCAAGUCGGAUGUGAAAUCCCCGGGCUCAACCUGGGAACUGCAUCCGAAACUGGCAGGCUUGAGUCUUGUAGAGGGGGGUAGAAUUCCAGGUGUAGCGGUGAAAUGCGUAGAGAUCUGGAGGAAUACCGGUGGCGAAGGCGGCCCCCUGGACAAAGACUGACGCUCAGGUGCGAAAGCGUGGGGAGCAAACA